RNAcentral lists this ribosomal RNA (791 nucleotides) under Kocuria sp. KSUM_6. RNAcentral's name for it is "bacterial SSU rRNA". It matches the Rfam family "Bacterial small subunit ribosomal RNA", at positions 21 to 817 of the family's 1533-position model. The record is from RNAcentral. Lineage: Bacteria; Bacillati; Actinomycetota; Actinomycetes; Micrococcales; Micrococcaceae.
UGCUCAGGACGAACGCUGGCGGCGUGCUUAACACAUGCAAGUCGAACGCUGAAGCUUGGUGCUUGCACUGGGUGGAUGAGUGGCGAACGGGUGAGUAAUACGUGAGUAACCUGCCCUUGACUCUGGGAUAAGCCUGGGAAACUGGGUCUAAUACUGGAUAUGACCUCCUGUCGCAUGGUGGGGGGUGGAAAGGGUUUGUACUGGUUGUGGAUGGGCUAACAGCCUAUCAGCUUGUUGGUGGGGUAAUGGCCUACCAAGGCGACGACGGGUAGCCGGCCUGAGAGGGUGACCGGCCACACUGGGACUGAGACACGGCCCAGACUCCUACGGGAGGCAGCAGUGGGGAAUAUUGCACAAUGGGCGCAAGCCUGAUGCAGCGACGCCGCGUGAGGGAUGACGGCCUUCGGGUUGUAAACCUCUUUCAGCACGGAAGAAGCGAAAGUGACGGUACGUGCAGAAGAAGCGCCGGCUAACUACGUGCCAGCAGCCGCGGUAAUACGUAGGGCGCAAGCGUUGUCCGGAAUUAUUGGGCGUAAAGAGCUCGUAGGCGGUUUGUCGCGUCUGCUGUGAAAAGCCCGGGGCUUAACCCCGGGUGUGCAGUGGGUACGGGCAGACUUGAGUGCAGUAGGGGAGACUGGAACUCCUGGUGUAGCGGUGAAAUGCGCAGAUAUCAGGAAGAACACCGAUGGCGAAGGCAGGUCUCUGGGCUGUUACUGACGCUGAGGAGCGAAAGCAUGGGGAGCGAACAGGAUUAGAUACCCUGGUAGUCCAUGCCGUAAACGUUGGGCACU